GGCGAACGGGUGAGUAACACGUGGAUAACCUGCCUCAAGGCUGGGGAUAACAUUUGGAAACAGAUGCUAAUACCGAAUAAAACUUAGUAUCGCAUGAUACAAAGUUGAAAGGCGCUACGGCGUCACCUAGAGAUGGGUCCGCGGUGCAUUAGUUAGUUGGUGGGGUAAAGGCCUACCAAGACAAUGAUGCAUAGCCGAGUUGAGAGACUGAUCGGCCACAUUGGGACUGAGACACGGCCCAAACUCCUACGGGAGGCUGCAGUAGGGAAUCUUCCACAAUGGGCGAAAGCCUGAUGGAGCAACGCCGCGUGUGUGAUGAAGGCUUUAGGGUCGUAAAGCACUGUUGUAUGGGAAGAAAUGCUAGAAUAGGGAAUGAUUCUAGUUCGACGGUACCAUACCAGAAAGGGACGGCUAAAUACGUGCCAGCAGCCGCGGUAAUACGUAUGUCCCGAGCGUUAUCCGGAUUUAUUGGGCGUAAAGCGAGCGCAGACGGUUGAUUAAGUCUGAUGUGAAAGCCCGGAGCUCAACUCCGGAAUGGCAUUGGAAACUGGUUAACUUGAGUGUUGUAGAGGUAAGUGGAACUCCAUGUGUAGCGGUGGAAUGCGUAGAUAUAUGGAAGAACACCAGUGGCGAAGGCGGCUUACUGGACAACAACUGACGUUGAGGCUCGAAAGUGUGGGUAGCAAACAGGAUUAGAUACCCUGGUAGUCCACACCGUAAACGAUGAAUACUAGGUGUUAGGAGGUUUCCGCCUCUUAGUGCCGAAGCUAACGCAUUAAGUAUUCCGCCUGGGGAGUACGACCGCAAGGUUGAACUCAAAGGAAUUGACGGGGACCCGCACAAGCGGUGGAGCAUGUGGUUUAAUUCGAAGCAACGCGAAGAACCCUACCAGGUCUUGACAUCCUUUGAAGCUUUUAGAGAUAGAAGUGUUUUCUUUUGAGACAAAAAGACAGGUGGUGCAUGGUGGUCGUCAGCUCGUGUCGUGAGAUGUUGGGUUAAGUCCCGCAACGAGCGCAACCCCUAUUGUUAGUUGCCAGCAUUCAGUUGGGCACUCUAGCGAGACUGCCGGUGACAAACCGGAGGAAGGGGGGGGGGAGGUCAGAUCAU
RNAcentral lists this ribosomal RNA (1107 nucleotides) under Leuconostoc sp. C6I5. RNAcentral's name for it is "bacterial SSU rRNA". It matches the Rfam family "Bacterial small subunit ribosomal RNA", at positions 97 to 1193 of the family's 1533-position model. Lineage: Bacteria; Bacillati; Bacillota; Bacilli; Lactobacillales; Lactobacillaceae. The record is from RNAcentral.